Molecule: non-coding RNA, 452 nt
Organism: Chiloscyllium plagiosum (whitespotted bambooshark)
Lineage: Eukaryota; Metazoa; Chordata; Chondrichthyes; Orectolobiformes; Hemiscylliidae
Source: RefSeq, a predicted model, not a curated record
CAUUGAAAAGUCCAGCUGCCUUCAAACUGAUCCAAUUCUCAUGAAUGGAAAGUCCAAAGAACCUUCUGAACAUGGAAGACAGGGUCUAAAGUUGCCUCAGCUUUUUGAAGGGUUCGGAUAUUUUUAUGGUUCGGUCCAGAUACCCCUUUGGGACAGGAUAGGUAAGAAGAGACAGAAGAACUAUAGAAAACCAGCACCAGAAAUGUGAUUUGCAAUGCACAUUCUACAGAUGAAACAUCUCAGCAAAUUAGGAGCUUACUGGGGAAAUAUUGAAACCAUAAUCUUGUAAAUACCACAUCUUUUGAAAUACAUCAGACGAAGUAUUAUGCAGUGAUCUCAGACUAAUUGAUUGUAACGCUUCUGCAAGCAAAAGCUAGAAUGGAAUUUGCAUGAGUGGAAUACCAACUAUCAUGAAUGAAAUUGAAGGAUUUGCAAAGUAAACUUGAAAUAAA